UACAGAGGGUGCAAGCGUUAAUCGGAAUUACUGGGCGUAAAGCGUGCGUAGACGGUUACAUAAGUCGGGUGUGAAAGCCCCGGGCUCAACCUGGGAAUUGCAUUCGAGACUGCGUAGCUAGGGUGCGGAAGAGGGAAGCGGAAUUUCCGGUGUAGCGGUGAAAUGCGUAGAUAUCGGGAGGAACACCAGUGGCGAAGGCGACUACCUGGCCUGUUCUUGACGCUGAGGCGCGAAAGCUAGGGGAGCAAACGGG
Molecule: ribosomal RNA, 253 nt
Filed under: uncultured bacterium
Lineage: Bacteria
Description: partial 16S ribosomal RNA
Rfam family: Bacterial small subunit ribosomal RNA
Source: RNAcentral